This is a long non-coding RNA of Dermochelys coriacea (leatherback sea turtle), 331 nucleotides long. RefSeq lists it as uncharacterized. The transcript has 2 exons. Lineage: Eukaryota; Metazoa; Chordata; Testudines; Dermochelyidae. The record is from RefSeq and is a predicted model, not a curated record.
GACCACCAUGGACACUUCAGAGCCCAGUCCAACAAGGCAGGAGGAAGAGGAGGAGCAAAGCGGGAGUGAGGGUGCUGAGGAAAAGGAAGACACCCUGGCAUCCCUAGAUGCAUGCAGCCAGGAGCUGUUCUCAGGCCAGGAGGAAGGUAGAGAGUCGUAGCGGACGGUGCUUGGGGAAGGACAAACACCAGAGGAGGUUCCCGAUGCAACCUUGAGAUCUCAGCCGUCCUUGUUAUCACCGGCUGAGAGGCUGCAAAGACUCAGGAAGAGGCCACGUAGAAGCAAAGAGGACAUGCUGCAUGAAGUCAUGCAGCACUCCCUUAAUGAAAAU